CAGUAGCCGCGGGAAUACGUAGGUGGCAAGCGUUGUCCGGAAUUAUUGGGCGUAAAGCGCGCGCAGGUGGUUUAAUAAGUCUGAUGUGAAAGCCCACGGCUCAACCGUGGAGGGUCAUUGGAAACUGUUAAACUUGAGUGCAGGAGAGAAAAGUGGAAUUCCUAGUGUAGCGGUGAAAUGCGUUGAGAUUAGGAGGAACACCAGUGGCGAAGGCGGCUUUUUGGCCUGUAACUGACACUGAGGCGCGAAAGCGUGGGGAGCAAACAGGAUUAGAUACCCCUGUAGUCCCUGUCUCUUAUAC
RNAcentral lists this ribosomal RNA (301 nucleotides) under uncultured bacterium. RNAcentral's name for it is "partial 16S ribosomal RNA". It matches the Rfam family "Bacterial small subunit ribosomal RNA", at positions 509 to 807 of the family's 1533-position model. The record is from RNAcentral.